UACGAAGGGGGCUAGCGUUGCUCGGAAUCACUGGGCGUAAAGCGCACGUAGGCGGAUUGUUAAGUCAGGGGUGAAAUCCUGGAGCUCAACUCCAGAACUGCCUUUGAUACUGGCGAUCUCGAGUCCGGGAGAGGUGAGUGGAACUGCGAGUGUAGAGGUGAAAUUCGUAGAUAUUCGCAAGACCACCAGUGGCGAAGGCGGCUCACUGGCCCGGUACUGACGCUGAGGUGCGAAAGCGUGGGGAGCAAACAGG
This 253-nucleotide ribosomal RNA is filed under the name uncultured bacterium. Its description in RNAcentral is "partial 16S ribosomal RNA". It matches the Rfam family "Bacterial small subunit ribosomal RNA", at positions 524 to 776 of the family's 1533-position model. The record is from RNAcentral.